GAUGAACGCUGGCGGCGUGCCUAAUACAUGCAAGUCGAGCGAACAGACGAGGAGCUUGCUCCUCUGACGUUAGCGGCGGACGGGUGAGUAACACGUGGAUAACCUACCUAUAAGACUGGGAUAACUUCGGGAAACCGGAGCUAAUACCGGAUAAUAUAUUGAACCGCAUGGUUCAAUAGUGAAAGACGGUUUUGCUGUCACUUAUAGAUGGAUCCGCGCCGCAUUAGCUAGUUGGUAAGGUAACGGCUUACCAAGGCAACGAUGCGUAGCCGACCUGAGAGGGUGGUCGGCCACACUGGAACUGAGACACGGUCCAGACUCCUACGAGAGGCAGCAGUAGGGAAUCUUCCGCAAUGGGCGAAAGCCUGACGGAGCAACGCCGCGUGAGUGAUGAAGGUCUUCGGAUCGUAAAACUCUGUUAUUAGGGAAGAACAAAUGUGUAAGUAACUAUGCACGUCUUGACGGUACCUAAUCAGAAAGCCACGGCUAACUACGUG
RNAcentral lists this ribosomal RNA (497 nucleotides) under uncultured bacterium. Its description in RNAcentral is "partial 16S ribosomal RNA". It matches the Rfam family "Bacterial small subunit ribosomal RNA", at positions 28 to 507 of the family's 1533-position model. The record is from RNAcentral.